ACGCUCGCGAAAAUGAACAACAGAGUCGCCACCAAUAUAUUUAUCCCAAAGAGGGAAAGGAAUAUAAGAAAACCUAACAAAAGAAGGAACAGGGUCUUGCGACCAGAGAAUCUAGGUACGGGAGCCGGUUACGCGAGGGGAAGGUAUUAGCACCCCUCACGCCCAUCGUACUCGAUGGUAUCCACCUAUGUUUGUUGCUAUCUAAAGGGUGUGUGCUAUAAAUCUAAGGCCAAGGGAAUGAGAAUGCAUGCAAAAGAAAGAAAAAGAAAUACGGGAAAAAAAAAGGUUUAUAAAUAAUUGUGCUCGCUUAGGCCCCGCGACCUAAUGCCUACGUAUCCUUUUCAGGAAUCAGAGCGUCGUAGUUCGGCUCUUUAGUUUUUGUUUGUUUUUGUGUUUUUUAGUGGACGGAGUUACAUUCGCAAUCUAGCUUCAGGAUAGCAGCUCGUUGAAUGGAGUGUUAUGUGUUACCAGUCUGCGAUCGAAAGGAAGCAACAUGUCCGAUUAGGAGAAAGAAUGCCUCAGAGGCGAGAUGAAGAAGAGAUUUUGAGUGUUUCAAGUCGAACCCUAAAGCAAGGGAGACUCGAGUUGCUCUAUGGUUUGUGUUUUUUAGAAAUUGGGAACUUACGCUCGAAUGGUUCCCUUAAGCAAGGGAGAUCCAAGCACUCGAAUGAUUCCCUUAAGCAAGGGAGAUUCAAGCUUCCAUUCCCUAUUUAAUGAUUUUCACUUUUUUAUUAAUGUUUUUUUUAGUAUCUUCUUGGUAUUCUUUAUGGGGAUUUAAUUUGGAUAUUGUUAGAUGUUUUAGCACGACGGCGCCGAAAGUCUCGGCUUCUCCGAUUCAUUUCUCCGGUGAAUUUGACGAUGCGCAAAAUCUUAUCUUCUCCGAUUCGAUUCUUUCUUCUCACCGAUCUCACUUCUUUUGACCUCCUCUGAGCUUUUGCGUUGACGUUAAUGGCACGGCACCGUUGUUGGUUCGAAACAAAGAGCGAAGAUGAUGAUGAGAUACCGUUGUUGAGAGCGUGAAGAUGCCGUUUCAGAAACGACCGCGACCUGCCGUGUGAUGAAGCUUUGUGUGUGAAGACGGUGGUUGGCGAGUUAGAUGAAGAUGAUUGAGGUGUGAAGCACAAAGAUAGCGAAGAUGACGAAGAACUGUUGGUGUUCGUGGAGCCUUCUCUUGAUUCUCGUUUCUUAUCCCUCUGUAGUUCGAAGGUUGAACGGAUUCAUGAUGAAUGAUUCGAUGUUCUUUGAUUGAAGAUUGGAGAAAGUGAUAAAGAUAACGAAGGUGGCCAAGGAAGAUGAUCGAGGGUGAUUAGAGAGAGAAUUGAAGAAAGUUGAAGAAGGUUGAAGAGGUGUGGUGAGGAAUGAAGGUCGAUGAAUGAAGAGAGUCAGAAGUGAAGAAGAGUGGAGAAUUGGUGAUGUUGCGGAGAGUGAUGAAUGAACAAAAAUGGUGGAGAGAAGAUGGUGAUGAAGUGAAGAGAGAAUGGAGAGAGCCCGAAGAAUGAAGAGGACCCCUGUUAUAUAGAGAUAGAGAAGCUUGAAUCUGAAGUUAAAAUGAGGUUGCAGGGAUCUUGGAAUAUAUUGAAGCAUGAAGAGGAGCAUAGUUUAGCAUAAGCUUUUCUUUUGGUGAAAAUAACUUAGACUUGAAUUCUGUAUAAAUGUGGGUGAGUUAUGAAUGGUGUAAUGUUUGAUUUAUAUGUAUAUGGGACCUUGUAUAUUUUUUGUAACAUGAAGGAUUUUGAAAUGGACAGUGGGUUUGUAAUUUGUUGUGUAGCUUUUGAAUGAAUAAACCUCGAACCG
Vicia villosa (hairy vetch) is the source of this 1794-nucleotide long non-coding RNA. RefSeq lists it as uncharacterized. The transcript is spliced from 3 exons. NCBI's taxonomy places the organism in Eukaryota, Viridiplantae, Streptophyta, Magnoliopsida, Fabales, Fabaceae. The record is from RefSeq and is a predicted model, not a curated record.